Molecule: ribosomal RNA, 301 nt
Filed under: uncultured bacterium
Lineage: Bacteria
Description: partial 16S ribosomal RNA
Rfam family: Bacterial small subunit ribosomal RNA
Source: RNAcentral
CAGUCGCCGCGGGAAUACAGAGGGUGCGAGCGUUAAUCGGAUUUACUGGGCGUAAAGCGUGCGUAGGCGGCUUCUUAAGUCGGAUGUGAAAUCCCUGAGCUUAACUUAGGAAUUGCAUUCGAUACUGGGAAGCUAGAGUAUGGGAGAGGAUGGUAGAAUUCCAGGUGUAGCGGUGAAAUGCGUAGAGAUCUGGAGGAAUACCGAUGGCGAAGGCAGCCAUCUGGCCUAAUACUGACGCUGAGGUACGAAAGCAUGGGGAGCAAACAGGAUUAGAUACCCGUGUAGUCCCUGUCUCUAUACC